UAGGGAGACCUAAUCCAUUUAGAAAUCGAAAACAAUGAAAAUUGUCAAUAGAAACUAAAUUGGUCUAACCUAGGUCGGUCGCAGACUUGAAGUAAAGCUUUCAAACUAUGAUUUGGUUCGAUAAGGGCUAUUAGCUCAGGUGGUUAGAGCGCACCCCUGAUAAGGGUGAGGUCCCUGGUUCGAGUCCAGGAUGGCCCACCUGAAGAAUUUUAGAUUGGUGAUUUGAGAUUUUAGAUUGAAAAAAAAAUCAAUCCAAAAUCGUCAAUCCAAAAUUUUGUAGGGGGGUUUAGCUCAGUUGGUAGAGCGCCUGCUUUGCAAGCAGGAUGUCAGCGGUUCGAGUCCGCUAACCUCCACAUUGGAAAAAAGACAGCACCUAAUUGUCAAAGUUAGACUGCUGGAUGAAAUUCCAGCCAGAACCUUGAAAACUGCAUAAGAGAACAAGAAAAAGCAGGCAGACACAGACAUUUAGAUGGAUGUGAAAGCAAAAGAAAUUGU
RNAcentral lists this transfer RNA (495 nucleotides) under Dolichospermum flos-aquae CHAB1652. Its description in RNAcentral is "partial 16S-23S ribosomal RNA intergenic spacer". The stretch from base 281 to 353 matches the Rfam family "tRNA". The record is from RNAcentral. Lineage: Bacteria; Bacillati; Cyanobacteriota; Cyanophyceae; Nostocales; Aphanizomenonaceae.